CAGUCGCCGCGGUAAUACGAAGGGGGCUAGCGUUGUUCGGAUUUACUGGGCGUAAAGCGCACGUAGGCGGAUCGAUCAGUCAGGGGUGAAAUCCCAGAGCUCAACUCUGGAACUGCCUUUGAUACUGUCGAUCUGGAGUAUGGAAGAGGUGAGUGGAAUUCCGAGUGUAGAGGUGAAAUUCGUAGAUAUUCGGAGGAACACCAGUGGCGAAGGCGGCUCACUGGUCCAUUACUGACGCUGAGGUGCGAAAGCGUGGGGAGGAAACAGGAUUAGAUACCCCUGUAGUCCCUGUCUCUUAUAC
RNAcentral lists this ribosomal RNA (301 nucleotides) under uncultured bacterium. RNAcentral's name for it is "partial 16S ribosomal RNA". It matches the Rfam family "Bacterial small subunit ribosomal RNA", at positions 509 to 807 of the family's 1533-position model. The record is from RNAcentral.